GAUGAACGCUGGCGGCGCGCCUAACACAUGCAAGUCGAACGAUUAAAGCACCUUCGGGUGUGUAUAAAGUGGCGAACGGCUGAGUAACACGUGGGCAACCUGCCCCUCUCAUUGGGAUAGCCACGGGAAACCGUGGAUAAUACCGAAUACUUCGGGACUUCCGCAUGGAAGACUCGAGAAAGCUCCGGCGGAGAGGGAUGGGCCCGCGGCCUGUUAGCUUGUUGGUGGGGUAAUGGCCUACCAAGGCAAUGAUGGGUAGCUGGGUUGAGGGACCGACCAGCCAGAUUGGGACUGAGACACGGCCCAGACUCCUACGGGAGGCAGCAGUGGGGAAUCUUGCACAAUGGGCGAAAGCCUGAUGCAGCGACGCCGCGUGCGGGAUGAAGGCCUUCGGGUUGCAAACCGCUUUCAGCAGGGACGAGGCGAAAGUGACGGUACCUGCAGAAGAAGCCCCGGCUAACUACGUG
This 467-nucleotide ribosomal RNA is filed under the name uncultured bacterium. RNAcentral describes it as "partial 16S ribosomal RNA". It matches the Rfam family "Bacterial small subunit ribosomal RNA", at positions 28 to 507 of the family's 1533-position model. The record is from RNAcentral.